GCUGGCGUAGCUCAGUUAGCAGAGCAGCUGUUUCGUAAACAGCAGGCCGGGGGUGCAAUUCCUCUCGCCAGCU
This 73-nucleotide transfer RNA is filed under the name Candidatus Omnitrophota bacterium. RNAcentral's name for it is "Candidatus Omnitrophica bacterium (groundwater metagenome) tRNA-Thr". It matches the Rfam family "tRNA". From Rfam's summary of the family: Transfer RNA (tRNA) molecules are approximately 80 nucleotides in length. Their secondary structure includes four short double-helical elements and three loops (D, anti-codon, and T loops). Lineage: Bacteria; Pseudomonadati; Candidatus Omnitrophota. The record is from RNAcentral.